CCAGAUCUGUCACCCCCCCCCGCCGAGCCCCACCCGGGGGUCCCUGUGGUGGCUCCUGCACCGGACCAGCCUCGUGCACCCCGAGGUGGAGUUUCAUUUCUGUGCCAGCAUCGAUGGCAAUGUCACAUCCAGAACCCUCAGCCCGGAGCCCCCCUGGGCAAAGGCGGGAGUGAGGCUGAGGGUGCAGAGCCAGCACUUCACUGGGU
This is a long non-coding RNA of Catharus ustulatus (Swainson's thrush), 206 nucleotides long. RefSeq lists it as uncharacterized. The transcript is spliced from 3 exons. The record is from RefSeq and is a predicted model, not a curated record. NCBI's taxonomy places the organism in Eukaryota, Metazoa, Chordata, Aves, Passeriformes, Turdidae.